This 497-nucleotide ribosomal RNA is filed under the name uncultured bacterium. RNAcentral's name for it is "partial 16S ribosomal RNA". It matches the Rfam family "Bacterial small subunit ribosomal RNA", at positions 28 to 507 of the family's 1533-position model. The record is from RNAcentral.
GAUGAACGCUGGCGGCGUGCCUAAUACAUGCAAGUCGAGCGAACAGACGAGGAGCUUGCUCCUCUGACGUUAGCGGCGGACGGGUGAGUAACACGUGGAUAACCUACCUAUAAGACUGGGAUAACUUCGGGAAACCGGAGCUAAUACCGGAUAGUAUAUUGAACCGCAUGGUUCAAUAGUGAAAGACGGUUUUGCUGUCACUUAUAGAUGGAUCCGCGCCGCAUUAGCUAGUUGGUAAGGUAACGGCUUACCAAGGCAACGAUGCGUAGCCGACCUGAGAGGGUGAUCGGCCACACUGGAACUGAGACACGGUCCAGACUCCUACGGGAGGCAGCAGUAGGGAAUCUUCCGCAAUGGGCGAAAGCCUGACGGAGCAACGCCGCGUGAGUGAUGAAGGUCUUCGGAUCGUAAAACUCUGUUAUUAGGGAAGAACAAAUGUGUAAGUAACUAUGCACGUCUUGACGGUACCUAAUCAGAAAGCCACGGCUAACUACGUG